Small nucleolar RNA from Grammomys surdaster, 145 nucleotides. RefSeq annotates it as small nucleolar RNA SNORA48. The record is from RefSeq and is a predicted model, not a curated record. Lineage: Eukaryota; Metazoa; Chordata; Mammalia; Rodentia; Muridae. The transcript has a single exon.
UGCCCUGACAAUGGGCAAAGAGACACCUUUGUUGGUGGUGGCAUUCUUAUAUCAGUCCAGGGGCAGAGCAGGUGGCAGUCCUUUGCUCAUCCUAGCUUGGUGCCUGGCUUGGUGGCCAAAGCUGUCUUACACCUAGGACACAUAA